UAUAAAUCUCAAUUUAGAACACCUCAACCAAUUUAACUGUUUUAAUUUCAGGUUCACGUUUUCCAAAAUGCCUAAACUUCCACAGUUUGAGUUUGACUUCAUAAAUGCAAAUGACCCUGUUAGAAAGUGUUAGGCUGAAUGCAAGAAAAAUCACUCCAUACAAACAGUUAUUUGUCUCACUCUACCAAGUGGCAUUGACUGCAAAAAGGACUUAUUGGAGGUCAAGCUUUGCCCUAAACAUCUGCAGGGAAAGUCAAUGAAGUCCACACUUCAACAAAACACACAGAACCCACUGAAGUCAUUAGAAGAGUCUGAAGGAGGAGAGACAUCUGGAAAAUGCCACUAGAUCACUGAAGAAUGAAGAAGGUAAGGACAAAGAGAACAUUGCUUCCAUUAAUAUUCCCA
Molecule: long non-coding RNA, 405 nt
Filed under: Coturnix japonica (Japanese quail)
Lineage: Eukaryota; Metazoa; Chordata; Aves; Galliformes; Phasianidae
Description: lncRNA (ENSCJPG00005000664.1)
Source: RNAcentral